UCGCGUAGCUCGGAUACAACGUGUCCGAAAACCGCCUAUAAAUUGAAAUUGGUAUAGAUAGAAACGAACAGUUGCUCUGAGCCUGCCACUGAAAAUUAGUUAAUUUCGAGUUAGUAGUCAACAUUUCGUCGGUGCUAUUUUACAGGUGCAUCAACUUGCGGAAAGUAUCAUGAAUUGGCUGAUAAGUGGAACACGCGCGAUUGGUCUUUUCUACAUCUUCCUGCUGGUGCAGUCAUUUUUGGUUACUUCGUCGAAUUCUGAACCUGACGCGAUUUCUAUGAUGUCACGCAAGGCUGGAGUCACUGGUCCAGCUGCUAGAAUCCGCUCUCAAAAAGUUAUAAAGUCGAGCCUGUGUCGCAAGAAACAUUAAGAUUCCUCAAAUUUAUAUGACUGACACGCAUAUCUUUGUUCCUGUUCCUCCUCUUUUUGAUCAUCGAUUUUUGCUUUGAAUCUUGAGGAGCACUGACGUUGCAAGAUUCAAAGGACGUCGAUUGCUAAUUGAUCGAUUAUUAGCUCACUGAUUUUCUGUAUUCAGAAUCCUAUUCCUUGUCAAUCGAAUUACAAAGAAUGCAAUAAACGAGAUAACGCAAACA
This is a long non-coding RNA of Bombus impatiens (common eastern bumble bee), 593 nucleotides long. RefSeq lists it as uncharacterized. NCBI's taxonomy places the organism in Eukaryota, Metazoa, Arthropoda, Insecta, Hymenoptera, Apidae. The transcript has 2 exons. The record is from RefSeq and is a predicted model, not a curated record.